Molecule: unclassified non-coding RNA, 87 nt
Filed under: Pseudomonas cedrina
Lineage: Bacteria; Pseudomonadati; Pseudomonadota; Gammaproteobacteria; Pseudomonadales; Pseudomonadaceae
Source: RNAcentral
UGUGGGAGCUGGCUUGCCUGCGAUGCAGGCACCUCGGUGUUUCUGAAACACCGUGGUGUCCGCAUCGCAGGCCAGCCAGCUCCCACA